Molecule: transfer RNA, 73 nt
Filed under: Rhodothermales bacterium
Lineage: Bacteria; Pseudomonadati; Rhodothermota; Rhodothermia; Rhodothermales
Description: tRNA-Ala
Rfam family: tRNA
About the family: Transfer RNA (tRNA) molecules are approximately 80 nucleotides in length.
Source: RNAcentral
GGGGCCAUAGCUCAGCUGGUAGAGCGCUGCAAUGGCAUUGCAGAGGUCAGGGGUUCGACUCCCCUUGGCUCCA